CGGAUAUUGCUUCGGCAAAUAGACUAAGAUAUCGAUUACUUUGCGUGUGUCGGGUCCACGGUCACAGUAGUCGCCUAGGAAGAUGAUGGUGGCGGUGUUGAAGGAUUCUGGGUCGAUCUUGGAUUGGAGGUUGGACCAGAGAUUGACAAGUUUGGUGAUGUGGCCAUGGAUGUCUCCUAUGCAGAUUACGGUUCUUGGUUUAUAGGCGGGAUCCGUCAUUUUUGGGGUUCGGUCGGGAGUUUGGGAAAUUAUCUUCGGGAGAAGCGGUCAGCUUACACACGCCACAACUUCAGCUGCGUAGAAACUAAAAUGCACGUGUAAAUAUAUUUAUUACUAUUUAGUAUUUUGUUUGAAUAAAUAAAGCUUUACCCACUGUUUAUUUUCCUCAACAAGAGUUAAGUUUGGAUUCCAUAUUGUUAUCUAUUAUGACUAGUAACUGAUAAUUAAAAAAAGUUUAAUCUUAACUUCCAAAGUCUAGAAAUUAAGGUCACUAUCAUUCUACAGAAUUAAUACUUAUAAUUUAUUGCUUUCAAUAAUUUGAUUAUUCAUUAUCAGAAUUUUUUUAAUUUUAAGUUAGUAAUGUAUCAAUUAUAAAUUAAAAAAAUUAUGAUAAUUACUUGGUUUAGCUAUCUAAACGGAGAAAUUGCUAAUUCCUUUGUUUUUGUUUCUAAUUUUUUCUGUAAGUUGUAGCCUAAAAUGAGUGAAGCACUAAACAUUUUGAACCUUUUCAGCUUGUAAAAAUCUAGCAAUAAUACAGCCAGGUUGAGUCAUCUAGCAGAAGAAGAAUAUAUGGUAGAGCAAAAGGAUUCCCAAAUGCGACUUGAAAUGGUUUCCAAGUUCCAACGAGUAAAACUGUAAAACCUCUAAUGGAUGCUUUUUACUUGGAAUCAGCAUCUAGCGGCGUUGCAUUGAAGCAACUGAAUUAUGGCAUCGAAACUUUGUCCCCUGCCUUAACUUUUGUUUCAGUCUAUGGAGUUUGACUUAGUCUCCUUAACAUUUUUAUCUUUACCUUGUGCCCAAUAAUGUGAUGGGAAUUUUGUUGGACUGGUGUUAUACUCUUGGUGUUUGUUCUCCCGCAUUCAGUGAUCGAAAAGAGAGAAAAACAAAUAUCAUGUGUGAUAAAUUGCAGGAGAUACAUCCAUUAAUGGUAGUGAAGGAUGGAGUAAUAAAUUCUUUGCUAGGUUAAGGUAAACAGAUGGAAUGAACAGAAUUUUGCAUGGUCUCAGCGGUUCUCAGCGGUACUGCUAAGGUAUAGCGCCAAAAACUGAGAGCAACAAAGACAAUGUUAGAUGAAGUCACUCAUUGCUCAAAUCUUCCAAGAAAAAAAAAUAAAAAGAAUGCUAUUAUCCCUUUUGUUUUCCCCAUCCAUCAACUAUACGUACAGUUUGGUUUUUCUAACAUACAGGUAUACUCCUAAAACUAACAUGAAACCUGGUUGUCUCCUUUGGAAGUUGAGGAACUUAAUACCAUAAGCAAAUAUUGAGAAGAAGAGGAGACACCAGCCAAUAUGAGCCGCGGCAACAGUUGGAAGGAAGUCAUAUUCAAAGCCCAAGUGGUCUUUAAUCUCAAGAAGAUCAAUCAUGUCGCCCACUUGACAAGUCACAACCACAAUUUCAAUUUUGACUAAGUGGACAAUUUAUUUAAUCCAUUAUUUUAUAAAAAAGUUAUAAGGCAUGAAAAGUUAUUGACAUGUUCCCAUUAAAAAUGUGAAAGUAAUUUGCCUAUAAAUACUAAAAUUUUGAAAAAAUAUUUACUUUUUAACAUAUCAUCGUAAAGAUAAAUUUGUAAUAGAAUGAUUUUAAAAAUUAUUUUCUCGAAGAUAAAAUUUUUUUAUUCACUUCACGAGUGAUCUAAUUACCAUAUAAUUAUCAAACACGAAAUCAUUUUGAAUUUUAAUAAAACCAUUUCUUACCUAAUAUCACCUAGUAAUUUUUUUUUUUAUAAAUUUAACUAUAUUUAACAAGAUUUUAGAUUUAAAGAAAAAAGUAUUAUCAAAAGAAUUCACAUGAUAUAGUGAUAAAUAUAAUGCUUCCAUAUAAGCUAUUAAUUAAAUAUGAGAAAUAUUGUUACAACAUAAACAGUAAUAACUUUUUUUUGUAAUUUUCAUAAUAUAAGCUCAUAAAGUAAUGUUACGUGAAAGAAAAAAAAUACCUCUAAUGUGUUCAAGGUAACAUUAAGUAGAGUAGGAAUUAAGAGCUCUGCUCCCAACAUAAACAUCUCCUUCAACUACCAAAUGCUCAGACCGAACUUCAAUCGUUGGAAUCUCAAUCCCCACUCUACACCAAUCAUAACCCCAUUAAUCAAAUCUAAUCUAAAAAUGGAAACAAAAACAACCCACAAAGUUCUUUUUUUUUGUCGUUGGAACCUACCUGUCUGUUUUGUGCCUUAAUCUCCUCAAAAAGUUUUCAUUAUCUUCUUCAGCAACCUUCAACAAACUAUCCAUCAACUGCUUCUUAUCUUGCAUCCCAAGCUUAAUAACAUCAACAUCAACAUGAACAACCCUCCCACUAUCAAGAACUUGUCUUAAAUUAAAAUCCCAUUCCUCGACCGAUCAUACGUUGGUAACCUUUCGAUAACAGCCCAACGUAGGUCGUCCUCAUCAUCUUGACGUCCACUCCUGUUAAAACCUUAGGGUGCAGAUUGCCUGACCCCCUUUAAGCCCGCCGAGGCCAUCGACCUUGCUACCUUAACUACAGCUAAAGUUGACGCCAAGAAGCAAGUAUUAAUAUUAUUCUUGUUAUGGGCUACAACUUUACAUUACUAUAAACAAAAAUGCUCUCGGCUAUAAUCUGAAUGUUUUUAGCAAAACUUUGAAAGUUUGGGUUCAUUUGGUAGUGUGGGAAGCCAAAUAUAUAUUUAUAAAUAGGGUAAGGCCGGUUCCUAGUGUUUGAAUAACACUAGGUAACUACAAUGGUGAUGUUAGAUCCUAUUUUUGUGUAUAAAAUUUAUUCUUUUUUUCUUUCAAAAAGUUAUUGUUUUAGAUUAAAAUGUUAUGAAAUAAAUCUUAAAAGAACAAAUAAAGAUAAUUGGAAAGAAUAAUUAAGAGAAAAAAGAAAGUGUUUAGGGGGAGAAAAGAGAUCUUAUUGAAUUGUAUAUUUACAAAUGAAGUGAAGGGGUCUAUUUACAAGCUAACAACCCCUUGAAUCAUAGUCCUAAUCUAAUUCUAUCUAAGAGUUCAAAUCAUAUUACAUUUUUUGUAUCUUGCCUUUUAGGCUGUUUGACUUGGUCUGCACUUCUUGAGUCAUAAUAUAACGGACAUUCACAUAUUUAUUCAUAACACUCCCCUUUGAAUGUCCAUUGUAUUAAGAAUAUGUAUCGUUAAAACCUUAUAAAGAAAAAUCUCAUGAGAAAAAAUUUGAGUGAAGGAAAAAGAGUACAUAAUUCUUUUCAAGAAUACGCUUUUAAAUUACUAUCUCAUUAAAAACCUUAUUAAGAAAAACCCAGUGAAAAAAACCUUGAUGAAGGAAAAGAGUACAGUGCGUAUUUUACUCUCUCGGAUGACUACAUUAUAGAGAUCUUUAAAAUGAUGCAUUCCAACUUUUCAAAUGUCGCAAUAAGAAGGGCUUUGGUGAACAAAUCUACUAGAUUGUCACUUGACUGAAUUUGUUGAACACUAAUUUCACAAUUUUCUUGGAGAUCAUGAGUGAAGAAGAAUUUUUGACGAAAUAUGUUUUGUUCGAUCGCCUUUAAUGUAUCCUUCCUUUAACUAUGCUAUGCAAGUAGUAUUAUCCUCAUAGAACGUUGUUGGAAUUUUCUUUUUGGUUGACAUGCUACACAUUUCUUGAAUAUGUUAAGUUACAGAUCUUAACCAGACACAUUCAUGACUUGCUCAUUAAUUGCUAAAAUUUCUGCAUGGCUAGAAGAAGUAGCAACUUAGUUUGCUUUAUAAAAUGUCAUAAAAUAACCGUACCUCCAUAUGUGAAUAAAAACCCUGUCUGGGAUCGAGCUUUAUGUGGAUCUGAUAAAUAUCCUGCAUUUGCAUAACCAAUUAAAUUUUAUUUUGAUGCAUUUGAAUUAUAUAAGCCAUAUCCAUUGUUCCUCGGAGAUGUCAAAGUAUAUGUUUAAUUCCAUUCCAAUGACCUCGAGUUGAAAAAAAAACUAUAUCUUUCUAAUAAAUUUAUAGUAAUUGAUAUAUCAAGUCAUGUAUUGCUAGCAAGAUACAUUAAUGCUCCAAUUUCAAUAAGAGAUGGUACUUCAGGACCAUGAAGUUCUUUAUUAUCUUCACGAGGUCGAAAAAUGUCUUUUUUCGCAUCUCAUAACCUUACAACCAUUGGUGAACUUAAUGGAUAUGCUUUCUCCAUAUAAAAUCAUUUUAGCACUUUCGCUAUAAAAGUAGAUUAAUGGACAAAAAUUUCAUUUGUCAAGUGUUCAAUCUAAAGACUCAUACAAAACUUUGUUUUUUCAAGGUCUUUCGUCUCAAAUUCUUUCUUUAAAUAAUCCACGACUUUUGAUAACUCUUUAAGAGUUUCAAUAAUGUUUAGAUCAUCAACAAAAACAACAAUUAUCACAAAUUCAGAUUUGAAUCUUUUUAUAAAAACAUAUGGGCAUAUUGGAUCAUUUUAUAGCCUUCUUUCGACAAAUAUUCACUAAGGCGAUUAUACCACAUGUGUCUGGAUUGCUUUAAUCUAUAAAGAUUUAUUUAAUUUGAUCAAAUAAAUCUCCCGAGAUUUCAAAUUUUGUGCUUCAAGUAACUUAAAUCCUUCAGGGAUUUUCAUAUAGAUAUCAUUAUCAAGUGAGCUGUAUAAAUAGGCUGUAGCUACAUCCAUCAAACGCAUUUCAAGCUCUUCAUGUAUUAUCAGACUAAUUUAAUAUCGAAAUGUAAUUGCAUCCACCACAGAAGAAUAUGUCUCUUCAUAAUCAAUACCAGGCUUUUGGGUAAAACCUUGUGCGACAAGUCGUACUUUAUAUCUCACAAUCUCAUCUUUCUCAUUUCGUUUUCGCACAAAUACCCAUUUAUAUUCCACUGAUUCUACUCCAUUUGGCGUACGGACUACAGGUUCCAAAAACUUCACGUUUUGCAAGUGAAUUUAAUUCCACUUUGAUUGUGUCUUUCCACAUUGACCAAUGAUUUAUAUGUCUACAUUUUUCAAUAAAUAUAAGUUUAAGAUCCUCGUUUUUCUUUCAUAAUAUUGAGCUCUAUACAAAAUAUCGUUGACGUUUAUUUACCAGUUCUAUUUUUUUCCAUAAUGACAUAAUUGAUUGAGAUCUCUUCAUUUUCAAUGAUUUCAGGUACUUGAAUUUCUUCUGAAAUUUUUUUCAAUUAUGUCAAAGGUCUCUUCUAGAGUUUUUACUUCCUUUUUCUGAUCAUCUUAAAUAUUUGCUCCUUUUCUUUUUCGAAGAUUUUAUCUUUGGAAUCGAUUGAUUUUCACGCUUCUGGCGUGUCUUGUCCUAUAGGGACAUCAAUGCUAAUAGGAGCAUUCGCAACUGGUAUAUAAGAUGUAGUUAUUCCCUUUAGGUCAGUAAAUACGUCUCGCAACUGAUUUACUAUAUUUUGCAAAGUAAUUAUCUUUUGAACUUUAAGUUCAUAUUGCUUUGUGCGAGGAUCAAAACUAGAUAAUGAUAAUAUAUUCUAAGAUAUUUCCUUUUCCAACUGCUUAUUUUCUCCCUCUAAUGUUGGAAAAAUUGUUUAAUCAAAAUGACAAUCAACAAACCUUGCAGUGAAUAAAUCUCCUGUUGAGGGUUCUAGAUAUUUAAUUAUAGAUGGAGAUUCAUAUCCAACAUAUAUUUCUAACCUCUUUUAAGGACCCAUCUUUGUGCAUUGUGGUGGAGCAAUUGAAACAUAUACCGCACAUCCAAAGAAUUCUUAGAUGAAAAAUAUUUGGUUCCUAACCAUAAACCAAUUGUAUAGGGAGAAUUUAUAAUAACUCGUUUGGCUUGAUGCAUAUAAAUGCUGUUGCAUCCAAAAUGGCAUGCCCCCAAGUCAACAUUGAGAGUUUGAAUUUCAUAAUUAAUGGCCUUACAAUCAUUUGGAAGUGUCUAAUAAAUAAUUCUGUUAGACCAUUUUGUGUAUAAGUAUAAGCAACAGGCUGUUCAAUAGUUAUUCCAACUAAUAUGCAAUAUUAAAGGCUUGAGAUGUAAAUCCACCAGCAUUAUCAAGAUAGAUAAUCUUGAUUACAUAACUAGUAAAAUGUGCUAGCAAACGAAUAGUUGCAAAUGCCAAAUUGCAAGUUGAUAAUAAACACACAUAUGACUAUCUAGUCGAUGCAUCGAUUAAAACUGUAAAAUAUCUAAAUGGUCCACAUGGUGGAUAUAUGAAUCCACAUAUAACCUUGAACAUUAUUCAAAAAUGUAGAAAAUUAAAUCCCAACUUUAGCCGAUGAUAGCCUUAUAAUUUAUUUGCCUUCAAAGCAAGCAGCACAUAAAAUUUAUUAGAUUGAAAAAAAUCUUAUGAUUUUUCAAUGAAUGAUCAUAUAAAUUUUCAAUCAUUUUCUUUUGCCUCAUUAUUGAUCCGAGAUGGUCCAACCGGUCAUGCCAAACAUCAAAAUCAUUAGUAAACUUCUGGUUUACUAUGAGUUUCAAUUAUUCUAAUAUUUGUAUAGUUUAAUUCUGAGAACAAAGCGAGUAAUUUUUUUCAACACACACUUUCUACUUGAGAUAAUUGCAAUAUAGAAGUAUUAAGUGUCUCAUUCAUUCGUUGUCUCAAUAUGAUAUCUAUUUAAGCAAAUAUCUUAAUAAACUUCUUGGAGACUUAAUAGAAAAUAAUACAUCCUUUAUUACUUUAUUCCUCCAGGUAUUAAAAUAUUAGCUCUUCUAGAGCCUUCAAUUAAUUUUGUACUAUCAGAUAUUAAAUUAACAUUGAUUUUUUUUUGUCAAGUAGGAAAAAAAAUUUCUUAUCUUUAAAUAUAGUGUAUGUUAUAGCAAUGUUUGCUUGACAUAUAUUUACAUCAUAGAUCUUGGAUCCAACAAUAUGAAUAUCCAUAAAUAUAUACAAUAAGAAACUUACAAGUUAACAUAAAAAAAUAUUAAAUAUAGAAUUAAAAUAUAUAAUAAGAACAUAUCAUUUAAACAUAGUAAAACAUUUUCAUAAUAUAGUUAUACUAAAUAUACCAAUUACUAUUAAGUUCAUUCUCAGAUAUUUCUAUUACCAAUCGAAUGAUCAAUUCAUUUUUCAAGACAAGAAAAUCAAUAAUAGAUAUUUUAUUACCAAUCAUGUAAUCAAUUCUUCUUUCAAGAUAGACAAAUAUCUUGACGUGCUAUAUCAACUUGACCAUGAUUAAAAUCAUCACAAGAUGUUAUAGUUUUCGGUGAUGCUUAAUACAAUUCAAGAUGUACAAUAGGUACGUAACUAAUGGUCUUUCAUGCCACAUCAAUGACAAUAUGUUUUUUAUAUUCCUCUUUUUUUUUCUAUUUUUGUAUUUUCAUUAUUCAUCCACUUCUGGUAGGUUAAAAAUAUUCCUCCACUUCUGGUGGGUUGAAAUUAUCCAUCCACAUCUGGUGGGUUGAAAUUAUCCAUCCACUUCUGGUGGGUUGAAAUUAUCCAUCCACUUCUGUUGGCAAAAUUAUCCAUUCACUUCUGAUGGUAAAAUUAUUCUUAGAUUCUGAUGGUAAAAUUAUUAUCUACUUCUUCCAUAUCCAUGAUCAUAAUUAUUAAAUGAUGUGGCAUUCACUUCAGGGAAUAGAUGGAUUCAUGACCAUGACCAUAAUUAUUAAAUGAUAUCGCAUUCACUUCAGAGAAUGGAUAAAUUUAUAAUUUUUUUUAUUAGUAGCUCGUUUGUCAUUUUCACUUCAGGGAAUGGACAUUAUGAUUUUUCAUUAAUAGCUAUAUAAUAGCAAAUUCACUUUCCAAUCAAAGGACAUAAUUUAAUAUAUACUAUAUGAUAGUAAAAUUUAUAUUAAAGUUGAUUUUUAGAGAAUGAAAAUAUUAAAGAGAUAUUAAGUCACUUACUUGAUUUAUUACAACCAAAACAAUUAAAAAUCAACCAUUGAAAUUCUUUCAAAGGUUGGAGAUGAUGAAAACAAAAUAAUAGUAGCACUUACUUGAUUUGCUAAAACUAUAAAUCAAAACUGAAUCGUUGAAAUCCUUUUGAAGCUUAAAGAUGAUGCAAACAAAAUAAUUUCAAAACUUGAGAGAUCAGAGAAUCGUGCUGAUAACGUGUUAUGAAACAAAUCUUAAAAGAACAAAUAAAGAUAACUUGAAAAAAUAAUUAAAAAGAAGAAAGAAAGUGUUUAGGGGGAGAAAAGAGAUCUUAUUGAAUUGUAUAUUUACAAAUGAAGUGAAUGGAUCUAUUUAUAAGCUAACAACCCCUUGAAUCAUAGUCAUAAUCUAAUUCUAUCUAAGAGUUCAAAUCAUAUUACAUUUCUUGUAUCUUGCUUUUUAGAUUGUUCGACUUGGUCUGCACUUCUUGAGUCAUAAUAUAAUGGACAUUCACAUAUUUAUUCAUAACAUAAAAAAAAUUCUUGAUUAUUUUUCUGUAACUGAAAUGGAUAAUAUGUUAAAAAUGUAAAAGGAAUAAAAUCGAAAAUGGUGGGUAAUAAAAGGACCGUUGUUACGGGUAUGUAAUGCAUUGGUGGGAUUUUGUUGCUUAGUGUGGUUUGCAUUGUACAGGAUUAAUUCCACAUCUUCUAGAUUUUUAGGCAUCUAGAUUCUACAAGGUAAAAACCUGAUAAAAAAACACGUGCAUGCUUAAGCCUAAGGUUGAGUGUUGAAAAUAAAAUUGAUAAAACCUGAUAAAUUGCUUAAGUUUUUUAUUUUGUUUGUUUUUUGUUGUUGGAUCAUAUAUAGAUGUCAACUUCUUUGUUUUUAUUAAUGGAUUGUCCUGCAUUUAGUGACAGAAAGAUAGAAAAAGAAUAAAGAUCACGUGAUAAAAUUGCUGAGGAUAUAUCCAUUAAUGAUUGUUAGUGAAUGGAGUCAUGAAAUCUUUGCCAAGUUUAGAUAAACAGAUGGAAUAAACAAGACUGCUAAGGUAUCGUGGUAAAACUUGAGAAGAUUAAUGUAAGGUCAACAACAAAAACAAUGUUAGAUGAAGUUAUAUAUUUCAAGAUCCCGAAUCUAAUAUGGUGGCAAAUUCUUGAAGAACAGAUACGCUGCAUUCAAUUUUGAGGGUGUAUCAUUUAUAUAUAUAUAUAUAUGAAAAAUGGUAUAAAAAUUCUGUUUAUAACAAAGCCAAUUCUACAAGACUUUGACAUCUCUUGAACAGCAGUGCAAUAGCGCGGCCUUUAUGGAAAACCAAGAGAAAAGAAUAUAAAUACACAAUGUGAAAAUGAAAAAAAUCUAUAUAUGAAGCAAAAAGAAAGCUGUAUCACCUUUUGUUUUCCCGAUACCUCGACUAUACUUACAUUUUGGUUUUCUAACGUUUAGGUAUAAUCUAAAACUGACAUGCAAGCUGGUUAUCUCCUUUAGAAGUUGAGGAACUUGAUACCAUAGGCAAAUACAAAGAAGAAGAGGAGACAUCAGCCAAUAUGCGCAGCGGCAAUAAUUGGAAGGAAGUCAUAUUCAAAGCCUAAGGUGCCUUUAAGGAAGUCCUUGACUGAUAUAUCACCUUGUCCAGGGACCUCAACAAGAGCAUUCUUGUCGCCCACUUGAGAAGUCACAAGCCCAUAUAGUGUCCAAGCCACGGGAGAAGCCCAAUAGUACCACCUCUACCAAACAGGGAUUUGCUGCAAUGGGUGAAUAAAGCAAAUUUUUUUUUCUUAAAAAAAUUCUCAAGGGGAUUAGAUUAGCCAAAUAACUAGGUAAUUAGAAAGAGUAGUUAAACUUUGAGAUAACUUACCAUCCUAGGAAUGAGAAAACUAGAGAACAAGUUCCAAAAAACAUGAAGAAUGUUGAAGAAUGUUGAUAUAAAAAUGAUUCAUUAAUGUGGAAAGAUGUAAUUAAAGUAGAAUUGAAUUCACUUCCAAAACAUGAAGUCUUUGAACCUAUAGUCUGUACACCAAAAGGUGUAAACUUAAUGGGAUAUAAUUGAGUAUUUGUGCUAAAACGAAAUGAAAAAAAAUGAAAUUGUAAGAUAUAAAACACAGCUUGUCACACAAAGUUUUACCCAAAAACCUAGUAAUGAUUAUGAAGAGACAUAUUCUCCUGUGGUAGAUGUAAUUACAUUUUGAUAUUUAAUUAGUCUGACAAUAUAUGAGAAGCUUAAAAUGCAUUUGAUGGAUGUAGUUAUAGCCUAUUUAUAUGGCUCACUUGAUAACGAUAUUUAUAUGAAAAUCCCUAAAGGAUUUAAGUUGCUUGAAGCUCAAAAUUUGAAUUCUCGAAAAAUUUAUUCAAUUAAAUUAAAUAAAUCUUUCUAUGGAUUAAAAAAUUCUGACACAUGUGAUAGAAUCGUCUUAGUUAAUAUUUGUUGAAAGAAGGCUAUAAAAAUGAUUCUAUAUGUCUAUGUGAUUUUAUAAAAAGAUUCAAAUAUGAAUUUGUGAUAAUUGCUAUUUAUGUUGAUGACCUAAAUAUUAUUGAAACUCUUGAAAAGUUAUCAAAAAUCGUGAAUUAUUUAAAGAAAUAACUUAAGAUGAAAAACUUUGAAAAGACAAGGUUUUGUUUGGGUCUUCAAAUUGAAUACUUGACAAAUAGAAUUUUUGUCAAGAACGAUUUUUAACAAAUUAUAUAGCAAACGUACUAAAACGAUUUUAUAUAGACAAAACGCAUUUAUUGAGUUCACCAAUGGUUGUAAGGUCAUUAGAUGUGAAAAAAGACCCUUUCGACCUCGUGAAAAUGAUAAAGAACUUCUCGAUCUUGAAGUACUAUAUUUUAAUGCAAUUGGAAUACUAAUGUAUCUUACUAGUAAUACACGACCUAAUAUAUCAUUUGUUGUAAAUUUAUAAGCAAUGUAUAGUUCUUCUUCAAUAUGAAGAUAUUAGAAUGGAAUUAAACAUAUACUUCAAUAUCUCCAAGGAGUAAAGGACAUUGGCUUAUAUUCUCAACUGUAUCAAAAUCAAAUUUAAUUGGUUAUGCAGAUGUAAAAUAUUUAUCUGAUUUACACAAAACUCAAUCUAAGAUAAGUUACUUAUUCACAUAUGGAGGUAUGGCUAUUUCAUGACAUUUUGUAAAACAAACUAUAAUUGCUACUUCUUUUAACUAUGCAAAAAUUUUACCAAUUCAUGAGGCAAGUCGUGAUCAUGUCUGGUUAAAAUCUGUAACUCAACAUAUUCAAGAAAUGUGUGGCUUGUCAAUCAAGAAGAAAAUUCCAACAGCAUUAUAUGAGAAUAAUAUUGCUUGCAUAGCACAGUUAAAGGAAUGAUACAUUACAGGUGAUAAAACAAAACAUAUUUUGUCAAAAUUCUUCUUCACUCCCAAUCUAAAAAAAAAACAUAAUAUUAGUAUUUAACAAAUUCAGUCAAGUGACAAUCUAGCAUAUUUAUUCAUUAAAGCCCUUUCUACUGCAACAUUUAAAGAGUUAGUACAAAAAAUUAGAACGCGCCAUUUUAAAGAUCUUAAAUAAUACAGUCAUAAGGAAAGUAAAACACGUAUUAUACUUUUUUUCUUUAUCAAGGUUUUUCCCAUCGGGUUUUUCUUGAUUAGGUUUUUAAUGAGGUAAUAUUUCAAAAGUGUAUUUUUGAAAAGAAUUAUGUACUUUUUUUCCUUUACACAGAUUUUUUCCCAUAAAGUUUUUUCCUAGUAAAGUUUUAACGAAGCAUAUUCUUGCUAUAAUGGAUAUUCAAGGGAGAGUGUUAUAAAUAUAUGUGUAAAUAUUCAUUUUGUUAUGUAUAUCUAAAUUUGAAUAUAGAUUAGAUUGGAUUAAGAUUAGGAUUUAAUUCAUUUAUCUAAUCUCUUAGUAUUAUAUUUAUUUUGUAAAUUCUAUCUAGUAAGGGGUUAUUAGUCUAUAAAUAGACUCCUUAUUUCAUUUGUAAAUACACACUUGAAUAAGAUCUUCUUACUUCCUUUAAAUAUAUUCUUUAUAAUUAUUCUCUUUCUUUUGUAGUUGUUUUUUCAGUUUACAUUUCAUAACACUUUUCCUAUUUUUAGUAUUUAUUUUACCAACAUCUAUAAAUUAUGUUGGUGUGAUAAAUAAAAUUUCAAAAUGGUCUAUCAUUUAAAAUAGAAAACAAAAAAUCAAAGUGAUGUGGACACUUUAAUGAGCUCGGCAAGAGCUCAUGCUAUUGGUGGGAGAAAGAAUAAGGGUCGGGCUACCUCGUUUCCUUUCUCGUCAAGGACUCUUGGAUAUUGUCUGGCAAUCAAAAUUGUAAUUUUGACAAUUUAACAGUAAUAACAAAAGAAUUUACAAUUAUUUUUCGUAAAAUAGAGUAUUUAUGUAUUUUGAUAUAAUAUUUAAAAAAUUAUUAAAUUAUUUUAAAAAAUUAAAAUAAAUUUUUAUUUUUUAUUACGUUCAAUUAAGUCUUUAUAUUUUAUUUUGAGUCAAGUCAGUUGUUAUAAUUAACGAUUAACUUAAUUAAAAUAUCAUUUGUCAUUCUAUGUCACGUGUUGUUAAUGUGACAUAAUAACACAUCAUAAUAAAUGGUGAUAUGAUAUGUUAAUGUAGCAUAAUUGUANNNNNNNNNNNNNNNNNNNNNNNNNNNNNNNNNNNNNNNNNNNNNNNNNNNNNNNNNNNNNNNNNNNNNNNNNNNNNNNNNNNNNNNNNNNNNNNNNNNNNNNNNNNNNNNNNNNNNNNNNNNNNNNNNNNNNNNNNNNNNNNNNNNNNNNNNNNNNNNNNNNNNNNNNNNNNNNNNNNNNNNNNNNNNNNNNNNNNNNNNNNNNNNNNNNNNNNNNNNNNNNNNNNNNNNNNNNNNNNNNNNNNNNNNNNNNNNNNNNNNNNNNNNNNNNNNNNNNNNNNNNNNNNNNNNNNNNNNNNNNNNNNNNNNNNNNNNNNNNNNNNNNNNNNNNNNNNNNNNNNNNNNNNNNNNNNNNNNNNNNNNNNNNNNNNNNNNNNNNNNNNNNNNNNNNNNNNNNNNNNNNNNNNNNNNNNNNNNNNNNNNNNNNNNNNNNNNNNNNNNNNNNNNNNNNNNNNNNNNNNNNNNNNNNNNNNNNNNNNNNNNNNNNNNNNNNNNNNNNNNNNNNNNNNNNNNNNNNNNNNNNNNNNNNNNNNNNNNNNNNNNNNNNNNNNNNNNNNNNNNNNNNNNNNNNNNNNNNNNNNNNNNNNNNNNNNNNNNNNNNNNNNNNNNNNNNNNNNNNNNNNNNNNNNNNNNNNNNNNNNNNNNNNNNNNNNNNNNNNNNNNNNNNNNNNNNNNNNNNNNNNNNNNNNNNNNNNNNNNNNNNNNNNNNNNNNNNNNNNNNNNNNNNNNNNNNNNNNNNNNNNNNNNNNNNNNNNNNNNNNNNNNNNNNNNNNNNNNNNNNNNNNNNNNNNNNNNNNNNNNNNNNNNNNNNNNNNNNNNNNNNNNNNNNNNNNNNNNNNNNNNNNNNNNNNNNNNNNNNNNNNNNNNNNNNNNNNNNNNNNNNNNNNNNNNNNNNNNNNNNNNNNNNNNNNNNNNNNNNNNNNNNNNNNNNNNNNNNNNNNNNNNNNNNNNNNNNNNNNNNNNNNNNNNNNNNNNNNNNNNNNNNNNNNNNNNNNNNNNNNNNNNNNNNNNNNNNNNNNNNNNNNNNNNNNNNNNNNNNNNNNNNNNNNNNNNNNNNNNNNNNNNNNNNNNNNNNNNNNNNNNNNNNNNNNNNNNNNNNNNNNNNNNNNNNUUAGUCAACUAUUAGUUAAUAAAUAUUUAUUUAAUUUUUAUUUGAUUAAAAUAAAAAUGUAUGAACUUGAUUGAAUAUAAUAAAAAAAUAAAUGCUUAUUUGAAUUUUUGAAAAUAGUUUAGAGAUUUUUAUGAAUAUUAUGCCAUGUAUUUUUUAUUUUUAUUAAAUCAAGGUUAAAUAUAGAAUUAGAAAUAUAAAAAUCAGAAAAAAAAUUUCAAUUUUAGUUUUUUUCCUAUAUCACAAAAAAAGUUUUUUUUUUAAUAAUUGGGAAAAAGAAGAUUUGAACCUUGCUCUUUAAGUAGGGGGUUUUUCUUUUGAUUGAUAUUACUAAUUAAAUAAAAAAAUCUCAUUUUAUCUCUAGGAAUUGUAACUUACUAAAGGAGAAAAUUUAGUGAAAAUGUAAAUGUCCUUAUCCAAAUGAUAUUUUUCUUAUGAUGGUAUUAAAGAAAAUAAAAUAAGAAAAGAAAAGAAAGAUUGUGGUAGAGGAAAUGCCCACUUUGGCCGUCUAACACCAGCCAUAUGAAGUGUCCUUAAUUAUUUUCUCUUAUUAAGAGGUGAAAAAUCAAAAAACAAGAUAUUGUUUAUUAAUUUUUUUAGAUAAAAUAUUUUUAAUUUGUUAAAUUUUAAUCGAAAUUUUAAAUGGGUACAUUAAUUUUGAAAUGAACACUUCCUCCAAAAAUAACAUAUUUUACUGGAUACAUAGAUCCAGCCGUUACUCAACCGUUAAUAUUUUCGUUAGUUUGAUGACUUGAUAAUAUUGAAAUGAUAAUUUUAUUACUUUUUAUUAAUUUUAAAAAUUACUAUAUAUUUUUUAUUAAUUAAAAAAAGGGUCUUCCUUCUCUUUGAGAGCUGGGGAGCACAGAUCGAUACUCUCUAUAUUUUUAUUUUUAUUUAAAAAAUAAAAUUAAUUAAAAAAAUAGGUAUUUUAGUUUUUUAAUUAUCUCUGUUAAUGGUGUUUAUAGUUUUAAAAUGAAGUGUUUAUUUCAAAAACUAAUAGAUUUAUUUAAAAUUUUAAUUAGAACUUAAGAGUAAGAGGAUAUUUUACUUAUUUUUUUAUUUUAUUUCAACCAAAACAUAUAACCGAAAAGAAAAUACUUAUAUAUAUAUAAAAGCUUAUUAAUAGGAAUUCUGCAAUUUGAACGGGGCGAGGGCAAAGCCUGGGCCUGGAGCUGAAAAAGCCUGCUCCCUGGAUAUGCCUCAACUUUACCUGCAAACCCACCCAAAAAAAAAAAAAAGAAAAGCAAAACAUCUUUCUUUCUAGUUGACCAAAUUUUGACGAAUUUCUCUUGUGCCCAACUUAUUUGCUCGCUGCAGAGAAAUUCGCUCAGCUCUGGUAGUUUAAUAACGUUUUUGUGUCUUCAUUUGUUUAUUAAAUAAAUGAAGCAUAUGAAUAUGUUGAUUUAUUUAUAUGCUUUUUUUUGGAUGAGAAUUCAUAGAAAUUAGAUAUUCAUGGUGCGGAAAUUUCCAGUUGCUGCGUCAAUACUGGCCUUUGUCGGAUUAAUGCUAUGAUUUUAAUGUAAAUGUGAUUUUGGUGCCAAAUAUAAAGUAUAAACUAUAUCAAAGUUGCCAGAACGUCUCUUCAUUUGUUAAUUUUUUUUCCAAAAGAAGAAUUUGAUUAGGCCUAUUCUGUAUUGAAAUUUUAGCUUUUUUUUUUUUUUUUAAGCAAUGAUGUUGAUUCUUUGUAAAAUUAUUGUUACAGAGUUGUAUAAAGAAGAAAACAAUUCCCUAAGUUUCCUUUUAAAAGUAGAAACGUCGAUAUGGCUGCGUCAGAGGAGAACAGUGCAUUGUUCCCAAUCUUCGUGUUGACUAUAAUGGCUCUGCCAUUGGUACCAUACACUCUAGUUAAGAUAUUAAAUGCAUUCUCGAAGAAAACGAUGACUAUCCACUGCCAGUGUUCUGUAUGUUCUCGUUCUGGGAAGUAUAGGAAAUCUAUUUUCAAACGGGUAAAUUUGCUUCCUAUAUGGUUUUAUUCAUUGUUAGGAAUGGUAUGUUUGACUGACAACGCUCUGUAUGUUUUUGAUCCUUUGGUUUACUUUUGCAGAUCUCAAACUUCUCAACAUGUAGAAAUUUGACCCUUGUGCUUCUUUGGAUUAUCAUGGUGAUGCUGAUAUAUUAUAUCAAGCAUACAAGCCAUGAGGUACUCCAUCUUUUAUUAAUAUCUGAUGAUCACAUGAUUUAAUCUCAUAGUCAGCUGCUACCUCAUCUGUUAUAGGAUGGAAUUAUGGGUUUUAGGUGAAGACUUUAACUGUCAUGUGUGGACUUAGGAAAUUUAGGCUUGCUUUCUUCCAUAACUGAUUUUGCAAACAUGGAAUGAAUGGUCAUAUAUUAAUAUCUUCGUGAUCAUGUAUUAAUAUAUUAAUGCAAGCAACCUUUAUUUUUAUCAGUUUGUUUCUUUCAUCAACAUUGUAUACUCUGUGUGGUGUGCCCUGGGUGUUUCUCAUGAUAGUACAUAAUUCAUCUCUUUUUUCGUUGCUUCUCAGAUUAAAGUGUUUGAGCCAUUUAGGAUUCUUGGUUUAGAACCUGGAGCAUCAGAUUUAGACAUAAAGAAAGCCUAUAGGAGACUUUCAAUACAGUAUCAUCCUGAUAAAAAUCCAGAUCCAGGUUAUAGAUUUUAUUUGUUGUUCCCAUAUAUGGUUUUGGCAGCAUUUUGAUUUUCUUUUUGAAGACCUAAUACCUAUCCACCUUUUCUCCUCCCCUUUCUUCUCAAAGGCACACAAUUAUUUUGUUGAAUACAUUUCGAAGGCCUAUCAAGCCCUGACAGAUUCAGUCUCUCGGGAAAAUUUUGAAAAGUAUGGUCACUCAGAUGCCAGGCAGGUAAUAAAAUUCUUUGGAUUUGUCUUUAAUUGCAGCAGAAUAGCAGUUUCACAUUUGAGAGAGUUUGGUUCCGAUUUAUUGUCCUAUUUUCACUGGUUUCAUAAUUUAGGGUCUUCAAAUGGGUAUAGCCCUACCUCCAUUUCUGCUGAAUAUUGAUGGAGCGUCAGGUGGAAUACUUCUGCUGGGAAUAGUUGGAGUGUGCAUUCUUCUGCCCUUGGUGUUAACUGUUAUAUAUCUCUCAAGAUCAGCCAAAUAUACUGGAAAUUAUGUGAUGCAUCAAACAUUGUCUGCCUACUGCUACUUCAUGAAACCUUCUUUAGCUCCGAGGUACAAAGUUCCUCCUUGUUGAUUUGCUACCUAAUGUUUACUGUGAAAGACCUAUAAAAAGGUCAUUAUUGUUUUGUGUUUAUAAAUAUAUGGAGAUCUUGGACUGACAUUCUUUCAGUAAUGGCUAGAAAUUUUCCCACCAGCAAACAAUUCAACUAGGUGAAUGACUGGGUCAUUUCAUCUGAUUCCUUGUUGCAUUGGCUUGACAUGGUAGAGACUUGAAGUCAGAUAGUUGAACUAAAAGCUAUCAUAAAUUAUACUCCUGUUGACCAUGUUCAAUAAGGUUUCAUUUUGGUUUUCUCUAAUAGUAGUCUAUUUUUGCAGCAAGGUCUUGGAUGUCUUCAUAAAAGCUGCAGAAUUCAUGGAAAUCCCGGUUCGGCAAAGUGAUGGGGAACCCCUUCUGAAAUUAUUCAUGUUGGUCAGGAGCGAGCUGAACUUGGACCUUAAGAAUAUUCGUCAAGAACAAGCUAAAUUUUGGAAGCAGCACCCAGCUUUUGUAAAGGUGGCUCAUUUGCAGCCAUGCCUUUCUAUAUGUCUUUCACUAUCUUGUUACUCAAACACCCUGAAGUUUGGGCUUAUGAUUCUUGCUGCUUUACAUUACUUACCUUUCUACUUUUCAGGCAGAAUUAUUGAUCCAAGCCCGGUUGACUCGUGAGUCUGCAGCUUUGCCUUCAGCUUUGUUGCGUGAUUUUAGACGCAUGCUUGGGCUUUCACCCCGCCUUCUUGAGGAACUAAUGAAGGUGAAUUUAUCAGCUCUUCUAGAACAAUAAUGGAUUUGUUACACACGUUUUUUGAAAAUUGUCACUUUUGCACAUGCAUCCAGAUUUGAACAUAUUGAUAAAAAUAGCUCUGUAUUUUUAUUGUUUCUCACAAGAUCAUUGACAUUAUUCUUAUAAAUUUUUGGAAUUGUUAGGCAUCUAAGUGUUUUGAAGAAUUGUCUAAGAAAUCAAGUGCAUUUACUAUCUUCAUCUUCUUCAAUAAAGAAGUGAAAAAGAACAAGUUGUUCCCAAUUUAUUGCAACUCCUCAUCCUAAUCAUAAUCUUUUAAAUAAUUGAAAUUCCUAGACUGCAAAGCCAUAAUGCUCUGUAGCUGGCACUGGUGUGUGUGAUGUGUGAGUGUGUUUACUAGGUCCUCAGCUAUCUUAUUCUACUUUUCUGAACAAAAGAAUGCUUGCAAGUAAUAAUAUUCUGCAUUCUUUGGAAGUUUUAUCAGUCAGUAUGUUAUUUAUGAAUACAGAUGGCAUUAAUACCACUCACUGCUCGAGGGCAUGGAUGGUUGAGACCUGCAAUUGGUGUGGUUGAGCUUUCUCAGAAUAUCAUUCAGGUGUGUUUUUAUGCUCCUUGUUUGGAAUCUAUUCUGUUGUCUGGAAAUUUGGGGCUUUCCUUGUGUAUGACUUUGCUGAACACUUUCGGUGCCAAUAUUAUGUUUAGUUACCUCUAUCCAUGUAGUCAUUUGCAACAUAUCAAAGAGAAAACUGUUAAUUACAAGGUAUGCCUACGCAGCAUAAAUAUUAGAUGGUUUGCUGCAUAUUCUUAGCAUUCAGGUGAGUAUAUAUAUAAUUUUUUUCUGAAAGGAUCAGUUUCCUAAACCGACACAAAAUAGGCUUUGUUGAUGAGAAUUAGCAAGCUGUGUAGCCUACUAGAGAUUGAAGUGGAAUAUUACUUUUUGGUUUGCACUACCAUCAUAUCAGUUGCCAAUGUGUUUGUCUGUGGCACCUUUGAUAAUCCUUGCUUUUUUCCUUUUUCUUUUUAUUCCUAUUGCAUUUGACCUAUAAAUGUCAAAGUUUUCUUACCUGCUGUUUUACUGACAAUUUUGUACCAAAUCUCUAUUCAUAAACUUUCUCUUCUAAUAAUUCUAUAGGUUGGGCAUUCACUGCCAUUUGUUCUAGUACUGUUUUUUUUUUUUUUUUGCUGCAUAAGCUCAUUCUCUUUUCUUUUCUCUACCAAGUGAUUAAAUUUAUUUAUUCAUUGAACCAGGCAGUUCCGCUAAGUGCUAGAAAGAUUGUUGGGGGAUCGAGUGAAGGUAUUGCACCCUUUCUACAGCUGCCUCACUUUAAUGAGGCCAUGGUAAAAAAGAUAGCAAGGAAGGUAACACAUUGCUUAUUUUAUUGGUUUUUGUACUGCACUAAAGAGUCUUGAUACUUCUGCAGUAAUUCUAUGAUGCCACCUGUAAUAGCCUUCUUUUCGGGUUUUAUUGCUUUGGUGCUUGGUUAUUAUUCUGCAUCUCAAGUCACACUGUAUGUCAACCAUUUGGUCAUGUUUUUUGGAUUAAGUUAUUUGUGGAGGAGGAAGAAAAACACUGGUUCAUUAGCAAAAGCCUAAGAGACUUCAGGUUGAAAUUUUCACACUGAUGGCCAUGGUUCAAUUGUCUUAGAAAGGUGGUGAAAAUGCUACAUUCUUACUUGUACGGAUUGGUAAAUGCUCUAUAAAACAAGAUGUUGCCUUGAUGUUGUGAUGUAACAUGCCUGAAUCAUGACAUGGCAUUGUUGAACAUUUUGCAUCUGUUUCCUAUUAUUCUUUAGUUUGAAGAAUCUCUUUCAUUAUGACUGCAGAAAAUGCGAACUUUUCAAGAUUUCUGCGGCAUGACCUUAGAAGAUCGAGUUGAGCUGCUGACUAAGGUUGCAGGGUUAUCUACUGGUGAAACCAAAGAUGUGGAGAUGGUUCUUGAAAUGAUGCCUUCCUUGACAAUGGAUGUCACGUGUGAGACAGAAGGUGAAGAGGGGAUACAAGAGGGUGAUAUUGUCAUGAUGCAUGCUUGGAUCACGCUCAAGCGUGGGAGCGGUCUUGUUGCUUCUCUUUCUCAUGCUCCUUACUUCCCUUUCCACAAGGAGGAGAACUUCUGGCUACUGGUUGCUGACUCUGUCUCCAAUGAUGUUUGGAUCUCCCAAAAGGUUAGCUUCAUGGAUGAGGCUGUGGCCAUAACAGCAGCAUCUAAAGCAAUUCAAGAGUUGAAGGAAGGUUCAGGGGCAAGUCUGAAGGCGACAAAUGCAGCUGUUAGAGAAGCCGUUGAGAAAGUAAGGAGUGGGUCAAGGUUAGUGAUGUGCAAAUUUCAGGCUCCUGCUGAGGCAAAUUACAAUUUGACUGCAUUCUGCUUGUGUGACUCUUGGAUUGGUUGUGAUAAGAAGACAAACUUAAAGAUGAAAUAAUGAAACGGAGUCGAGCAGGUACAAGGACAGGUCCCUUGUCAGAAGAGGGAGCGGUCAUGGAAGAGGGGAUUGGGGAGGAAGAAGAUGGAUAUGAUGAUUAUGAGAGUGAAUACAGUGACGAUGAAGAGGAUGAACAAGAUUCUAAGAGGGAUGGAGCUUUGGCCAAUGGUGCUGUUGAUAAUAAAGGAAAUGGAUCAAGCUCUGAAAGUUCCGACAAUGAGUGAAAAACCUUUUAUUUUUGGUUUUUCCUUUUUAGGAAUACAGGGGGAGGUGAUGGAUCCCAUUCAUUUCUUUUAUAUUGUAACAUUUGAUUAUAGGGUAUACCAAUCCACAUGUUGAUAUGAACUUAAAUGCCGUAAUGCUUGUCUCAUAGAAUCCUUAAAACCAUUAACUGUAUCUGUUGAUUAACUUCCGUUAAUGCAUUCAGUUUUCCUGUUUCAAAACCAAGACGUUUCACAAGUUNGAGGGUGAUAUUGUCAUGAUGCAUGCUUGGAUCACGCUCAAGCGUGGGAGCGGUCUUGUUGCUUCUCUUUCUCAUGCUCCUUACUUCCCUUUCCACAAGGAGGAGAACUUCUGGCUACUGGUUGCUGACUCUGUCUCCAAUGAUGUUUGGAUCUCCCAAAAGGUUAGCUUCAUGGAUGAGGCUGUGGCCAUAACAGCAGCAUCUAAAGCAAUUCAAGAGUUGAAGGAAGGUUCAGGGGCAAGUCUGAAGGCGACAAAUGCAGCUGUUAGAGAAGCCGUUGAGAAAGUAAGGAGUGGGUCAAGGUUAGUGAUGUGCAAAUUUCAGGCUCCUGCUGAGGCAAAUUACAAUUUGACUGCAUUCUGCUUGUGUGACUCUUGGAUUGGUUGUGAUAAGAAGACAAACUUAAAGAUGAAAUAAUGAAACGGAGUCGAGCAGGUACAAGGACAGGUCCCUUGUCAGAAGAGGGAGCGGUCAUGGAAGAGGGGAUUGGGGAGGAAGAAGAUGGAUAUGAUGAUUAUGAGAGUGAAUACAGUGACGAUGAAGAGGAUGAACAAGAUUCUAAGAGGGAUGGAGCUUUGGCCAAUGGUGCUGUUGAUAAUAAAGGAAAUGGAUCAAGCUCUGAAAGUUCCGACAAUGAGUGAAAAACCUUUUAUUUUUGGUUUUUCCUUUUUAGGAAUACAGGGGGAGGUGAUGGAUCCCAUUCAUUUCUUUUAUAUUGUAACAUUUGAUUAUAGGGUAUACCAAUCCACAUGUUGAUAUGAACUUAAAUGCCGUAAUGCUUGUCUCAUAGAAUCCUUAAAACCAUUAACUGUAUCUGUUGAUUAACUUCCGUUAAUGCAUUCAGUUUUCCUGUUUCAAAACCAAGACGUUUCACAAGUUCUUUCCAAAACCUACUUGAGCCAGAAGCAGAAAAUCAAGCGGAAAUGAUCAUGGAUCUGUCUCCUAUUUCUCCAAAAUUCCAACCCACAAGAACCUUCAAAUACAGAGCAUAUGCUAUAAUUAACAUAUUUGACAACUUGCAGAAGAAUCCAGUCAGGCAAUUUAAAUAUUAGUGACUGGUUUCCAAAUUAUUUAUAAUUGAGAUAUUACCAACUGGUUACAAGAAAAAUUAUAAGUGCCUCCAAAUUCACUUUUACUUCAUGUCCCAAAAACAAGGGCUUCUAUGCUUUGUUGAAUUCAGAAAGGAUAUGGGUAUACGAUGACUAUCUUUUAGAAACUUAAAGCUAAGAAAUAUUAUCUGUGUCACAAACUAUCUUCAUUGAAGGAAGCACGACUGCAGCCACCGGAUUACUCUCCAGUCCUCCACCUUCAUCAAUAACCAGCCUAAGGCCAUCGAUGUGAAGUUUCCCGUGGUGACCACUUACCACAAUUGUCUCAGUCAGCUCCUGCAAGUAUUCAACACCAAACACCUAGAUCACUCGACUUUCAUAUCAUGACAAUCAUGUUAUUAAGCCCACAAAAGCUGCAAAGUACCCCUCCUAAAAGGAAGCUACACUGGAGUUAAGAAGUUGAUCCUCAAGUCUAUCUAUCUAUACACUAAGAAAAACAAUGUCAAAGACAGAUAAGAGUUGUUUCAUAAGUAGUGAACUAUUCAUUACCUUGGGGAUAUCCCAAACAUCCUUCCUCCCGCUUAGAGCUGUUACCUUGGGCACUCGGGUGUCUCGGGCUUUCAAAAAUUCAAGCUGCUCUUGGAUUUUCCCUCUCUCUAAACCAGCAUGUACAGCAACCAAUUUACAAUGUUUAAAUCCUUCCUCGGUCUCUAUACAGACAUCAUCCUGGAGAAAUGCACAUUGAAAACACGCACUAAUUUUACCAACUUUAUUCAGUGGUCAUGCUAUAACAUUAUAACUAAUCUUCACAUUAUUGUUCCAGAAAACUAAAGAAUUGCUUCUAACUUACUUUGUACUAUUCACUGUAAAGUAUUUACCACAUUCUCAUCACACACCAGUGUUCUAAAAGCUAAGAAAAAGCAAAGAGAAGAAAGAAUACCUCUUCAUGAACCCAAACCAUAUCAGCUAGAAAUUUCUUGUGGUCUUCAGGAACUGCCUUGACCAAAUCUGUACACAACAACAAUCCUUCUUUCAAAUAAAAAUUAAGAUAUCUGAAUCAACGUUAAUUGUGAGCAGAAAAUAUCUUGUCUUAGAUUAAGUAAGAGUAACUCAAUCCAGAGGAACCCAAUUACUAUCUGUUAACUAAAAUUAUAAGAAUAAGAUCCCCAUUGAAAAGUAAACAACUAAGAUAACCCUCAACUGCAAUAAGCCAAUUGAAAAUAACAAUUAGAAAUUAUGCUAAUCAAACACAAGCACCUAAUUCAACAUACUAACUAAAAAGAGAUCAAACACAAUCAGUCCUUCAAAAACAUACAAUCUAGAACCAAACCAUGAAUGAAUCAAGAAUCCAUUUGCCACUUAAUAUUUUGACCAUACCCUCAAAACCCAAAAUCUCAAUUGAAAUUGAAUGACGAAGAAUCAAAAACAAUAAUCCAUUGAAAAAAUGAAUAUCUUAGAAUGUAAAUCUCCAUUUACCAUUGAAUUGUCCAAACGAUUACCAAAAAGCCACAAAUUGUACGUUAUCAUUUGAAAACCAAGAAUAAAGCUCUAACUAAAAAACCACCUUGAUUAAAGGCAGAGCCAUAUAUGGAAAAGCCAACUAUCCAAAAUAAUAAUAAUAAAAAAAAACCAUGCAUUACCAGCAGAUCCAUGAGAUACUCCAUAAGACUCAAACGUAGGAGCAGCAUCAUAAAUGGAACCUUUACACUCCAACCCUUUGGCAGCAUUAAACUUAGCCUUAAGCCAACCACUCCAUAUCCUCGCCUGCAAAUGCAUCUUUUCAUACCCUUCUCCCUUAUACCACCCUUCUCUUUCCUCAUUAUCCGCAUACUCUUCCCACGUGUCCUUCGCUUCAAACUCCCCCGGCAACACCCCGACAAACCCGGCGAAAGCAAAGUCAUGGUUUCCUGACAAAAAAACAUGCUUCUGAUUCGGAUAUUGCCUCGGCAAAGAGACUAAGAAAUCGAUUACUUUGCGUGUGUCGGGUCCACGGUCACAGUAGUCGCCUAGGAAGAUGAUGGUGGCGGUGUUGAAGGAUUCUGGGUCGAUCUUGGAUUGGAGGUUGGACCAGAGAUUGACAAGUUUGGUGAUGUGGCCAUGGAUGUCUCCUAUGCAGAUUACGGUUCUUGGCUUCUAGGCGGGAUCUGUCAUUUUUGGGGUUCGG
RNAcentral lists this long non-coding RNA (23490 nucleotides) under Theobroma cacao (cacao). RNAcentral describes it as "long non-coding RNA (TCAC_LNC002874)". Lineage: Eukaryota; Viridiplantae; Streptophyta; Magnoliopsida; Malvales; Malvaceae. The record is from RNAcentral.